Molecule: long non-coding RNA, 22665 nt
Organism: Vicia villosa (hairy vetch)
Lineage: Eukaryota; Viridiplantae; Streptophyta; Magnoliopsida; Fabales; Fabaceae
Exons: 3
Source: RefSeq, a predicted model, not a curated record
UAUUUUAAUUGUAUCAUCACCGUCAAAUUUUCAUCCAUCCGCGAUAUCCAAAACCGUUAAUCCCGAUCCUGUUUUCUAUAUAAACCUCUCCACCCUCAUUCCCAAAUACCAAAAGUAGCUUGUUAUAUCUUUGUCGCUUGUUUUUCUUCUAAGUUCUACUUGUUCGGUUCAUGAAUUUUAUUUUAUGGUUUUAUUAAAUUUUGCACAAAUUUGUUUGCUUCGUGAUGGCUAGAAUUAAUGGUUUGCUUUUCUUGUACUCCUGAUCUGCUGCUAAGAGGAAGCUUGUUAGGGGUUUGUUUAUUGAUAUGCUUUUCGGAUCCUAGAAAUUGAGAAUUUUUCGAAUCAUUCGACUCUUCUUUUAUGGAUCAAUUAUAAAGAAUUUCAUGAGAUACUUCUUAUUUGGAUAAUAAGAUAUUCGUUUAUGUGUUUUGCAACGAUUUGGGAUUCUUGAUGUAAUGGAUAAGAACAGAUAACGGCUUUUGAGAAAUCGAAUUACCCGAUUGUUUGCUCCACCAUGGCUUGAUGCCAGGGUUGCUAAUCGUGUUUUUAAAUGGAUUUGUGUUGCAUCUUGAUACGAUUUUUUAAUGGAUUUGCGUUGCAUCUUGAUACCAUUUCUUAAUGGAUUUGCGUUGCAUCUUGAUACGAUUUCUUAAUGGAUUUGCGUUGCAUCUUGAUACGUUUUCUUUGGUUGCUGAUAGUGUUUUCUUAAUGGCUACGUUUUCUCAGAUUGCCUAUUGUGUUUUCUUAAUGGAUUUGCAUUGUGUCCCGAUGCGUUUUCUUAAAUUGCCCGAUCGUGUUUUCUUAAUGAAUUUAGGGGUUACUAUGAAUCAUUUGGUUAAUUAUAGAUAUGAUCUAUGACGCACUUACACAUGAAACUGACUUGACACAGGUUUUCAUUUGAUAAUAAGAGAUAUGUUUAUCCAUUUUGCGAAGAGGCUAGGAUUACCUUCGUAUAUAAAACCUUAUGAUACGACACAGAAGAAAAGAGAACAGCUCCAUAUAGAUAAAACUGAUUUCUUCAAUGAUUCUUAUUCUGGCUUUUAUUGCAAGACAUGUAAAUUGAAAUUUGAACAUGUUUUUCUGCAGCUUGGUUGUCAAAAUAAUAACCUUCUUCAAAGCAUGCAGCCUUGCCUUUUGAUUUGCUGAUCUUUGUUAUGUUAUUUUUGUUUUCAGUUCCGAGAGCAUAUCGAUAAUAUCAAAAACACAGUACAUCGACACCACUACAUAUAAAUGAUAGAAUUUAAAUUUUAUUUUCAGACUUUGAUCACAAGACAUACAAUUUGAAUUCUGAACAUAUUUUUUCUGCAGCUUGGUUUGUUAGAAUAAUUUUCAAUAAAGCAUGGAGCCUGAUGUGGGGUCCUCUCUCUGUUAUGCUAAUCUGCAACUUGGUUUGGAGAACUAUGACAUCUUCUUCUUUCUUUCUUGGUUUUCUAUAACCUAUAUGUCACAGUUUAAUUUUUGUGUACAUUUAUCGUCCGAUGCUGCUUCUUUGUACAAAUUAUCUCUGGUGAAAGUUUAAAGAAGGAUAUGAAAUCCAAAAUGUUCUGCUAGCUGAGGCAUAUAUUUUCUAUGAUCUAAUUUGGACAACUUGGUUAGGUGUGUUUUGACAAUCUGUUCUUUGGAUAUUCUAUGGAAGCUCAAACUUUCAUGUUUCAUGUUGGGUACAAGUACUUGCAAAUUGGCUAGAAGUUUGUGUCCGGGAAGUCGGGAACCAUUAUGUCUUCAUAGGUUGUGUUGCAUUCUUUAAUUUGGUCAUAUCUACUAAGAAAGACAAUAGGUUGUGUUGCAUUCUUUAAUUUGGUCAUAUCUACUAAGAAAGACGAUUAACAUUUCAGUACGUUUGAUAUAAUUUUGAAUUCCUUUGAAUUUUUUGCGAGUCAUAUAAGGGGAGACAGAUACAACCUAUGAAAUUCUGGUGUGCUGCAGCCUGUGACCUGAGGCAACAAAGGUUAACAUACUAUUCUUCCUAUGUUAGGAUACAACCCUUCUUUUUUAUGAUAUCUGUAUCUUUUUGAUGGUGUGUUCUGGGAGAAUCUAUUCUCCAAAAUGGAUAUUUGUCGGAGUGGGGAUGCCCAAUUUUUUUUCGUUUCAUACCGAGCACCAGUCUGCAAUUGGUCGUGGCAUAUAUUAUCACAGUUAUGUUUUAUCUAGUGACCUAUACUCUGAAUAUGAAUUCUUCUCCUCUAUGUAUCUUGGGAAUCUAGUUUUCUUGAUUCCUAAAGUUCCAUGUGGGUGUCACAAGGAGUAUAUGGACUGUGAAAGCUGUGGCGAGAUUAUCAUGGAAAUGCUUUAAGCUUUCGGAUAAAUGUCCUUGUUAUGGAUUGGAAUAGUUAUGCUUUGAUGACAUGACGUGGUAAUGUUGGUUUCUGUGUUUGUGGGAGACAAUUUUAACCACUUAAUUUCUUGAAUACAAUAUGAAGUCAUUUUCCUUGCGGGUGUCAAUUUUGGAAUUCAUUCUUAUUUUAUCACCUUCAAUAUAUCAGUUUACAUUUGGCUUACCAAUAACUCUAUUUUGAAACAGCAGAAACUGGUAUGCUGUUUUCUUGGCUAAAGUAGUUCCACUUUAUUUGAACUUGUGUCUCAAAUAAAACUAUGGACAUUGGCAUGUCAUAUGAUUCAAAAUUGAAUUUGUGAAAAGCUCUAAAAGCCAAUUGGCAUGACAUAUGAUUCAAAAUUGAAUUUGUGAAAAGCUCUAAAAGCCAAUUGGCAUGACAUAAGAUUCAAAAUUGAAUUUGUGAAAAGCUCUAAAAGCCAAUUGGCGUGUCCUAUGAUUCAAAAUUGAAUUUGUGAAAAGCUCUAAAAGCCAUCAUGUGAAUGCAGUGUUGUUACAAAACAUGACAGACCCAAAGUUUCUUAGGAUCCGGUAAGGAUGUGUUCAUCUAUGUUUGUUGGAAUUAUUAGGAUGCCAUGUGAUUCAAAAUUGAAUUUGUGAAAAGCUCUAAAAGCCAAUUGGCAUGUCAUAUGAAUCAAAAUUGAAUUUGUGAAAAGCUCUAAAAGCCAAUUGGCAUGUCCUAUGAUUCAAAAUUGAGUUUGUGAAAAGCUCUAAAAGCCAAUUGGCAUGUCAUAUGAUUCAAAAUUGAGUUUGUGAAAAGCUCUAAAAGCCAAUUGGCAUGUCAUGUGAUUCAAAAUUUAAUUUGUGAAAAACUCUAAAAGCCGAUUGGCAUGUCAUAUGAUUCAAAAUUGAAUUUGUGAAAAGCUCUAAAAGCCAUCAUGUGAAUGCAGUGUUGUUACAAAACAUGACAGACCCAAAGUUUCCCAGGAUCCGGUAAGGAUGUGUUCAUCUAUGUUUGUUGGAAUUAUUAGGAUGCCAUGUGAUUCAAAAUUGAAUUUGUGAAAAGCUCUAAAAGCCAAUUGGCAUGACAUAUGAUUCAAAAUUGAAUUUGUGAAAAGCUCUAAAAGCCAUCAUGUGAAUGCUGUGUUGCGACAAAACAUGACCCACCCGAAGUCUUCUCAGGAUCAGGUUAGGAUGUGGUCAUCUAGGUUUGUUGGAAUUAUUAGGAUGUCAUGUGAUUCAAAAUUUAAUUUGUGAAAAGUUCUAAAAGCCAAUUGGCAUGACAUAUGAUUCAAAAUUGAAUUUGUGAAAAGCUCUAAAAGCCAUCAUGUGAAUGCAGUGUUGUUAUAAAACAUGACCCACCCGAAGUCUUCUCAGGAUCAGGUUAGGAUAAGUUCAUCUAGGUUUGUUGGAAUUAGGAAAUCAUGUGAUUUAAAAUUGAAUAUGUGAAAAGCUUUAAAAGUUCAGUUAUGAUUUAUUCAUUUAUGAUUUCCAAUUGGAUGUUUUAGUUUUAUUAGUCUAUUGAUGUUUAACUUUAAAGUUCAGUCGUAUGUGUUCUUGACAUCAUUACUACUUUUUUCUUGCAAAUGUUUGUACUACAUUUGAGUUUUUGUAUUUAAGAAGUGCCAAAGUUUACAUAAUUUUUGAGACAUUUGGACAAAUUGGUGGGCCUCUCUCUGUUAUGCUUGGUUUGGAGAAUUAUGCUAUAUUCUCUCUUUCUUCUUGGCUCUUUUUCUACAACCUAUUUGUCAGAGUUUAAUUUUUCUAUACGUUUAUCGUCUGUUGCUGACAGAAUUUUGUUGUACAACAAAAGUUUUCUUAAUUCUGAAUCACACUCCCACAUUUUUAGUUGAUCUAUAGUGGAGAAAUUGGAGAUAAGUGUAUCUGCUUCUUUGUAUAAAUUAUCUCCGGUAAAAGAAUAAAGAAUGAUAUUUUCUAGGAUAAUUUGGACAACUUGGUUAGUUAUGUUUUGACGAUCUGUUCCCUGGGGUCUGUCAUUUCUGAAUAAUGUAUGCUCAAUAGCUCCUUUGGUAUUAGGUGGAAGCUCAAACUGUCAUGUUUCAUAUUGAGUACAAGUACUUGCAAAUUGGCUGGAAGUUUGUGUUCAGGAACCAUCAUGUCUUCAACUGUUGUGUUGCAUUCUUUAAUUCGGUCAUUUCUACUAAGAAAGACUUAACAUUUCAUUGUGUUUGAUACUAAGCACUUUUGAAUUCCUUUGAAUUUUAUGCAAUUCUUAUAGUGGAAUAGGUGAACAUACUAUUCUUUCAACCUAGGGACUAGGGAUACAACCCCUUUUUUUUUAAUGAUAUUUGUAUUUUUUUAUGGUGUGUUUUUGGAGUGUUGGAGUUUUUGUAUUUUUGUAGCAGCAGAAGCAAAAUAUUGAAGCAUACAAGAUUCUAGACCAAAGUACAUCUUUCUGCCCGAGCCAAGGAAUUUUUGACAACUUGGUUUGGCUCACCUUUUCUGUUUGUUAGCCACUUUCUUUGUUAUAAUUAUUUCACUACAUUCUCCUAAAUGGAUAUUUGUUGGUGGGGAAGCCCAAAUUUGUUCUUGGGAAUCUAGAUUUCUUGAUUCCUUAAAUUCCAUGUGGGUGUCACAAGGAUUAUAUGGACUGCGAAUGCUGUGGUAAGAUUAUCAAGGACAUGCUUUGAGCCUUAGGAUAAAACAUGCCAUUUUUCCUUAAAUGUACUUGUUAUGGAUUGGAAGCUGUGUUUUGAUGGUGUGAUGUGGUAAUCUUGAUUUAUGUGUUUGUAGGAGAAAAUUUUGACCACGUGAUUUCUUCGGGAUCUAUAUCUUCCUCUGUUUUAGAAUUCAUUCUUAUUUUAUCACCUAUGUAUCGGUUUUCAUUUGGCUUACUAAUAACUCUACUCUGAAACAGCAGCUGGUAUGUUGUUUUCUUGGCUAAAAUAGUUCCACUUUAUUUGAACUUGUGUUUCAUAAAACAUUGGACAUUGGCAUGUCAUAUGAUUCAAAAUUGAAUUUGUGAGAAGCUCUAAAAGCUAAUUGUGGCAUGUCAUAUGAUUCAAAAUAGAAUUUGGGAAAAGCUCUAAAAGUCGCCAUGUGAAUACAAUGUGAUGUGGUAAGGAUGUGUUCAUCUAGGUUUGUUAAUUAAAUCAACAUAUUAUCUUCAAUUGCAUAAUUAUUAUGAGGGGAAAGAUUACUCAAUCUCAAAUUCUCAAACUUCUUGUAGUCGGUGGCAAGUCCAAAAAUAUUGAAAAAGCUCAUGUGAGAGUUAUUGGACAUGUAAGUUUGUGACACCUAAUUCCUUUCUAAAUUCAUCAUUGUAAUAUUUUGUAUCACUGUGUUGAAGCAAUUAAAUUCUCUGUAGCGUCAAACCUUGUUUGUUUAAUAUGGUGACAAUGACAAUUACUGUUAAGUGUUAACUUAUAUUUAUAUGUUUGUUCCACAAAAGCCCUCCCUUGAUUUCAUGCACAACAUUGCUGAACAGAAUUGUGGAGUAUCUCUUCUCGCUGUCUUCUCUGUUUUUCAUCAAAUUUGUGGGCAUGUUUGAUUUGAUGAUUUACAUCCAAAGAGAGUUAUUCUUGUACUCUUUUACUGUAUGUUUGUUAUUUACGAUAUAUAGAGGAUUAGGAAUUCAUUUCCUCUAAUUUUUCCAUUGGGAACCAGAAUUCAUUAUUGGAACCAUCAUGUUCUGCAGGCUGCUGUAAGAUAUUUUCCAAAGAGUUCGAGUCAUGUACAUUUCAGUCAGUGUUUCUAAGAAUGUGAAAUUUGCAAAGUAUCUCCAUCCGGUGUUCGGUAAAUUGUUGCUCAUAUUGAAGUAAUUUGAUGGCAAUUGUUCCAAGCAUAAAUAUGUUGUUGGUUGUGUCCUAUAUUUUCCGCCUAUUUCUAGAUUUUAAUAUAAGAUCUCUAUUUGUAUUUAAAUACCUCUUAUUUCUUAAUCUGUUAUCAUCCAAAUUACUCUGCAAUUUUAUUGCAUUUGUUAUUUCAAGUUCUUUUGUUAGUUAGCGUUCAGUUUUUAUUGUUUAUGUGAUUUCUGCAUGGUUUUGCUCACAGUGAUUCAUUGUGAGACUUUGGACAAUGCUUGAGUGCAUGGUAAGUUUUAAUUAUAUAUCGAAUGGUUCUAUUAUUACUAUUCUUAUAUGGUAAGUUAUAAUUUAAAAUCUAUUUGAUGAUCAGCUAGUUGAAAUAUCAAGAACCUUUCCCAAUUUUUAAUUCCUAAAAUAAUAACCAAGAAUGAAAUCAUAUUAAUCAAAUUUCUAAAAAGAAUCCUUAUAUGCUAAUUUUGAUUGAAAGACAUGCGGUGAAAUAUGAAUCUAUUUUUCUUCAGUGUGAUUUCUUAAAAUAUAGUUUGUCAUAUCGAGUUUUAAUCUGGUGAUCCACGGUAAAUGCUUUUUAUAUUUUAAGAUGUGCAUUUAGGUUUUUAUUUUAAGACUUGCCCCUUUAGGUUUAUAAUAUAGUAAGAGCAUGUGAAGUACUGACGCAUAAGUGAACUCUCAUUUUUGGACAAGGUAAUGGUUGUCUACAAAUACUAUUGUUCUACAACUAUCAGUCAGUCUACACUUUACGCCGGACAAAUAAAUGAUAGUUAUAACCGUCAGUACUAUAUAGUCAGGUAUUCUUUUACUCAUAUUUAUAAAGUUCCAUUUGGUUCAUAUACUAACCACCACACAAGAAGUCUUACCGCAACACCAAAAGUUUUAUCGCAAUAUUAUAUUUCCAAUCUUUAUAAAUAAACUAAUUUUUAUUAUUGCAAUCAUAGUUUUAUUGAUAUGCUUUUCGAAUUGUUGAAAUUGAUAAUUUUUCGAAUCAUUCGACUCUUCUUUUAUUGAUCAAUUAUCAAGAAUUUUAUGAGAUACUUCUUCAAUUCUAUUCAUUAUUUUUAUUUCUCAAACAUACGAGUUUUUCGGAUUAUUUGCUCCAUCAUGGCUUGAUGUUAGGGUUACUAAUCGUGUUUUUAAAUGGAUUUGUGUUGCGUCUUGAUACGUUUUCUUAAUGGAUUUGCGUUGCAUCUUGAUACGUUUUCUCAGAUUCCUAAUCGUGUUUUCUUAAUGGAUACGUUUUCUCAGAUUGCCGAUAGUGUUUUCUUAAUGGAUUUACGUUACGUCUUGACGUGUUUAAUUUAUAGAUAUGAUCUACGGAGCACAUACGCAUGAAACUGACUUAAAACAGGUUUUCAUUUGAUACGACACACAAGAAAAGAGAACAGCUCCAGAUAGAUAAAAUUGGUUACUUCAAUGAUUCUUUUUCUGGCUUUUAUUGCAUGACAUGCAAAUUGAAUUUUGAACAUGUUUUUCUGCAGCUUGGUUUGUGAAAAUAAUAACCUUCAAAGCAUGCAGCCUAGCCUUUUGAUUUGGUGAUCUUUAUUAAGUUAUUUUUGUUUUCAGUUCCGAGAGCAUAUCUUUCUUGAAGUUGUCUUUUGAUCUUGUUCAAGCUGUUUUUCAAGUUUGUGUUUCUUCUGGUGUUGAAAUUUUUGUGUGUUACUAUUAUCAGGGACUAAUAUCAUAUGAAGCACCGAAUAAGACGCACGAACACCUGGACACGACAUUGUCUCCCCGACAUAGAUAAUUUUAAAAACAUAGUACAUAGAUAAUGUCAAAAACGCAGUACAUCGAUACCACUACAUGUAAAUGAUAGUAUUUAAAUUUUAUUUUUAGACUUUGAUCACAAGACAUACAAUUUGAAUUCUAAACAUGUUUUUUCUGCAGCUUGGUUUGUCAAAAUAAAUUUCAAUAUAGCAUGGAGCCUUAGCUUUUUAUUUGGUGAUCUAUUUUAAAAUCUUUUGAAAGCAUAUUAUUGUUGAUCUUUUAUUUCCUCCGGUGUUGCAGGAAAGGUAGUUGGUGGGCAUAUUAUUCUUCGUGUUUUGUAUUCUGAUUUUUUUCUGGUUUAUUGAUUUUGAGGUUUGAUUUUGUUCUGGCAUAUUUUCUGCAGUGUACUGUAUUUUGUAUAGUAUCAAGCCUCGAGUUUGUUUCGGUACUCGAAUUUGUUUCAUUUGAUUUCUUCUGUGCUGAUUCUUUUCAUCUAGAUUUCUUAUUUAUUCCCCUGCUGUGCUGAUUCUUUUCAUCUAGAUUUCUUAUUUAUUUCCUUGUGAUUUCCAAUUGGAUGUUAUAGCUUAGAUUAGUCUAUUGAUGUUUAAUUGAAAAGUUCAGUCUUAAGGGUUCUUGACAUUAAUACUAGUUUUUUUCUAACAAAAGUUUGUUCUACAUUUAUAUUUGUGUUUAGAAAGCGUAAAAGUGUAGAUGAUUUUUGAGAUGUUCGGACAAAUUGGUGGGCCUCUCUAUGUUAUGCUAAUUUGCAACUUGGUUUGGAGAACUAUGCUAUAUUCUUCUUUCUUUAUUGGUUCUUUUUCUACAACCUAUCACAGUUUAAUUUUUGUGUACAUUUAUCUUCUGUUGCUGACAGUAAGUUUGUUGUACAACAAAUGUUUUUAAUUCUGAAUCGCACUGCCACAUUUUUAGUUGGUCUAUAGUGAAGAAAUUGGAGAUAAGUGUAUCUGCUUCUUUGUAGAAGUUAUCUCCGGUGAAAGAAUAAAGAAGGAUGCGAAAUCCAAAAUGUUCUGCUAGCCGGGGUAAAUAUUUUCUAGGAUUUAAUUUGGACAACUUGGUUAGGUGUGUUUUGAUGAUCUGUUCCCUGGGGUUUGUUGUUAUUUCUGUUUUAUGAUGUAGGCCCAAUAGCUCCUUUGGUGUUAGGUGGAAGCUCAAACUGUCAUGUUUUAUGUCGGGUACAAGUACUUGCAAAUUGGGUCGAAGUUUGUGUCCGGGAACCAUCAUGUCUUUAAAGGUUUUGUUGCAUUCUUUAAUUUGGCCAUUUUUACUAAGAAAGACAAUUAACAUUUCAGUGUGUUUGACACUCGGCAAUUUUGAUUUACUUUGAAUUUUCUACUGAGUCAUAUAGGCGAGAUAGAGACAACCUAUGAAAGUCUAGUGUGUUGUGGCCUGUGGCAACAAAGAUUAACAUACCAUUCUUCCUAAGUUAGGAUACCUUUUCUUAUUAUAUCUGUAUCUUUUUAAUGGUGUGUUCUGGGAGUGUUGGAGUUUUUGUAUUUUUGUAGCUGAAGCAUAAUAUUGAAUCAUCCAAGAUUCUAGACUAGAGUACAUCUUUCUGCCUGAGCCAAGGAAUUCUUGACAACUUGGUUUGGAUCACUUUUUUGGGUGUGAUUACUACAUUCUUAUCAUUUGUCUUAUAUAUAAGAAUAAGAAUCUAUUCUCCCAAAUGGAUAUUUCUCAAAGUGGGGAAGCCCAAUUUUUUUUCCGUGCAAUUGGCUGUUGCAUAUAUUAUCACAGUCAUGUUUUUAUCUGGUUACCUAUACUCAGAAUAUGAAUUAUUCUUCUUUCUGUAUCUUUGGGAAUCUAGUUUUCUUGAUUCCUUAAAUUCCAUGUGGGUGUCACAGGGAGUAUAUAGACUGCCAAAGUUGUGGCAAGAUUAUCAAGGACAUGCUUUGAGCUUUCUGAUAAAAUAGGCCAUUUUUUCCUUAAAUGUACUUGUUAUGGAUUGAAAUAGUUACGUUUUGAUGGCGUGAUGUGGUAAUGUUGGUUUCUGUGUUUAUAGGAGACAAUUUUGACGACGUGAUUUCUUCGGGAUCUAUCUUCCUCUUGUUUGUCUGUUCAUAUUCUUGAUUUCUUUGAAUACAAUAUGAAGGUCAUUUUCCCUGCGGUUUUCAAUUUUGGAAUUCAUUCUUAUUUUAUCACCUUCAAUAUAUCAAUUUUCAUUUGGCUUACCAAUAACUUUACUCUGAAACAGCAGCUGGUAUGUUGUUUUCUUGGCUAAAGUAGUUCCACUUCAUUUGAACUUGUGUUUCAUAAAACAAUGGACAUUGGCAUGUCAUAUGAUUCAAAAUUGAAUUUUGUGAAAAGCUCUAAAAGUUGUCAUGUAAAUGCAGUGUUGUUACAAAACAUGACCAACCCUAAGUCUUCUCAGGACCAGGUGAGAAUGUACAUCUAGGUUUGUGGGAAUUAUUAGGAUUUUGAGGGGAAAUAUUUGCUCAAUAUCAAAUUAUCAGACUUCAUGUAGUCGGUGGCAAGUCCAAAAAUAUUGAAAAAGGUCAUGUGGGAGUUAUUGGACAUAUGAGUUUGUGACACUUAAUUCCUUUCUAAAUUCAUUAUUGAAAUAUUUUGUAUUUUGUUAUCAGGUUUUGAUCAUGUUUACUGUGUUAAAGCAAGUAAUUUUUUUGUAGCAUUUCAGUGAUUUUAUCAUCGGUGUUAUAGGUUCUAUUUGAUUUUAUCAUCGGUGUUAUAGUCUGACUGCCAGGAUUAAUUAAGCAAGAUUCUGUAGAAAACUUGUUUCAUUUCGAUGAAACAAUGUGGUUGGGGCUUUUGUUUUCGAUGAAUAUCUUCUUUGGCAUUUUUGGAAAAGUAUCUCCAUCCGGUGUUCGGUAAAUUGUGGCUCAUAUUGAGGUCCAACAUUUUCAAUUUGAUGGCAAUUGUUCCAAGCGUAAAUAUUGUGUUUGUUGUGUUAUAUAUUCUCCCCCUAUUUCUAGAUUUUAAUCUGAAGAUCUCUAUUUGUAUAUAAAUACCUCAAUCUGUUAUUAUUUAAAUUACUCUUCAAUUUUAGUGCAUUUGUAAGCGUUCCAUUUUUAUUGUUUAUGUGAUUUCUGCAUGGUUUUGUUCACUGCGAUUUAUUGAGAUUUUGGACAUGUUGUUUGGGUGCAUGGUAAGUUAUAACUAUAUUUCAAAUAGUUCUACUUAGAAUAAUUAGACUCUUCUUUUAUGGAUCAAAUAUCUAUAAAAAAAUUGAUAUAAUUUUUCAUUGGAUAAUCAGGAUUCUGUUUAUCUAUUUUGCAGCGAUUUGGGAUUAAUGAUGCAACGGAUAAGAGCGGAGAACGUAAUCAAAUUUCUUCAAUUCUUUUUAAUUCGACUUUUCCAGAUUGUCUGCUCCGUCACGGCUUGAUGUUAGGGUUUUCUAAUAGUGUUUCCUUAAUGGAUUUGUGUUGUGUCUUGAUACGAUUUCUCAGAUCGCUGAUCGUGUUUUCAUAAUGGAUUCUUUUUCUCAGAUUGCUGAUUGGGUUUUUGUAAUGGAUUUGCCUUGCCGCUUGACACAUUUUCUUAGAUUGCUGAUCAUGUAUUCUUAAUGGAUUUGUUUUGCGUCUUGAUACAAUUUUCUCAUAUUGUUUAUCGUGUUUGCUUGAUGGAUUUGCGUUGGGUUUUCAUACGAUAUCUCAGAUGGUUGAUCGUGAUUUAUUAAUGGAUUUGGGUUACUGUGAAUCAUCUGUUUAAUUUAUAGAUAUAAUAAUCUAUGAAGCACAUACACGUGAAACUGAUUGACAUGGGUUUUCAUUUGAAAAGUAAGAGAUGCGUGUAUCCAUUUUGCGGAGAGACAAGAAUUACCUUCAUAUCUAAAACCUCAUGAUACGACACACAAUAACAGAGAACAACUCCACCAGAUAGAUAAAUCAGAUUUCUUCAAUGAUUCUUUUUCUUUUCUUGUUCUGGCUUUUAUUGCAAGACAUGCAAAUUGAAUUUUGAACAUGUUUUUCUGCAGCUUGAUUUGUUAACCUUCUUCAGCCUAGAUUUUUCAUUUGGUGAUCUUUAUUAAAUUAUUUUUGUUUUCAGUCCUGAGAGCAUAUCUUUUUUGAAGUUGUCUUUUAAUCUUGUACAAGCUGUUGUUGAAGUUUGUAUUUUUUUCGUUGUUAAAGUUUUUGUGUGUUUCUAUUAUUAGGGACUUAUAUCCUAUGAAGUAUCGAAUCCGACAUGGAAACCGGGACAAAGUUUGUGCUUCUUCUGGUGUUAAGGCUUUUGUGUGUUUCUAUUAUUAGGGACCUAUAUCCUAUGAAAUACCAAAUUCGCCACGAACACCAAGACACGACAGACGCCCCGGCACCAAUAUUGUCAAAAACAUAGCACCGCUGCAUAUAUAUGAUUGGAUCUAAACCUCAUUUAUCUAUCUAUUAUUUAAAGGGUUAAAAAUAUCCUAACAAAGAUCUUUGUUUUUAAUUUUCCACUGAUGACAUAGCUGUAAAAUAUAUUUAACCUUUUAGAUGUGUUUGUGAUUUGUCUUAAAAAUGUAUAAGGUGGGUUGAAACAAAAAAAAAAAAACUUUUUAAACACUUGUUUAGAUUGUUAGACAUGUGUUGGGACACUUGUCAGACUUUUCUAACAUGCUCGGACACCACGACACGCCUACUCUUAGAAGUUUAUGCGCUUUAUAUUUUAGAUUUACCCUGGUUUGUCUUGGUACAAAUUAUGGAAAUGCUAAUGGAAAUGUUUUUUUUCCUUUUCCAAGAUGAGAAAUUUUGGAUAACAUAUGUUCUUAUUAUUCGGAGAGGUUUUCUAUAAUCUUCAUGUUUUGUUGCCUUUUAUCUGUGAUUUAUGAUAACUCACAUUCCUAAACAGAUUCCAUCUUUGAUACAAUUACAUGGUCCAAGCACUGCUUUGUGUCAUGUGUCAGUUACCAUCUUUGACAUUUCCUACUAUUGUUGCACUUUAAUUUGGUCAUUUCUACUAAGACUUUUACACUCUAGUCUUUGUUUGAUUUGAUACUCAACAUCUACUUUUGUCAGAUCUUCUGAGUUGUGUAUCAGUUUUGCAUGGAAGAUAUCUAAUAUGUUUUGUUUUCUGUGGAACUUAUGCAUGCAUAGGUUUACUUAUGGUGUCUUUGUUUUGGGAUAGCUGUCCUCUGAUGGUGACUGGAGUUUUUGUGUUUUUUAUUAGGAAUGGGAGUAAGAAGCCUACAGUGUUUGACACUUUUUUUGUUAUGCUGUUUUGGAAUAGUUGUUCUGCAGUGUGUAUGUGAGAGCCCCGUGUUUUGAUUUGGCCCUCUCUUGUAAAUUAGUUUCUUUUAAUAUUUCUUUAAUAUAGAAUAUAUAUUUCUUGACUUGUUAUUUUACUCUUAGACGUUGUAGGAGAGGAUGUACUUUUGAUUUCUUGUUCCUAAAGUUUGUUUGUUCUUGCUCUUACCAAAGUUGUGGAGAACAACUCCAGAUAACUCCAAUUUUUCAAUGAUUUAUUCUUUGUUAUUUUUAUUUCUUUGGUUUGAUUUCAAGAUAUUCCAAACGAACUGUGAACAUAUCUUUUAUGCAGUGCAGUUUUUCAAAUUAAUAAAUUUCAUUGCAUGAGAGCCUCAACUUUUAGUUUGGGCAUCUUUUGUAGAUUCUUCUAGUUUAAUAUUUCUCUAUAGACCAUAUAUUUCUUGAUUUGUCAUUUGCUUGAUCAAGUUGCAGGAGAGGAGAUGAUUUUUGAUUUCUUGACUUUUUAUUCUCUUUGGUGUUGCAAGAGAGGAUGUGCUUUCGAUUUCUUGGUUAUAAAGUUACUUGUUCUUGUUCACACAAUCAUACUUCUCUCGACUCUCUUACAGAUUGGUUGACUAGAAUUGUUUCUAUAAUAUAGAUUUAAUUGUUCAUUUAAAUUCAUAAUGUCUUGAUACAACAAGAGCGGAAAAUAACUCCAGGUAGAUAAACCAAAUUUUUUCAUUGGGUCAUUUUUUACUAUUUCUAUUUCCGGCCUUUGAUUGCAAGGCGUACAAAUUGAUUUCUGGACGUGGUUUUCUGCAGUGUGGUUGUCCAACCAAUAACCUUCAUAGCAUGGAGUUUUGCAUUCUGAUUUUUUAUUUGGUGAUCUCUAUUAAAUUCUUUUCAUUUUCAAUAUUUCUUUAUCGAUACUGAAAGCAUAUCUUCAUUGAUUUGGUGUUAACUUUUUGGUGUCGCAGGAUACACAAUUUCUUCUAGUUCUAUUUUCCUCUUGUUUGAUCUUCAUGGAUUUUAUUUUUUUGGUUUCUUGAUUCUUAUGUUUAAUUUGGUUUUUGUUAGUUUUGACGUUGGAAAUUACUAUCAACUAUUCAUAUGGGUAUUUUAUGUUUAAUUUGUUGGCAGCACUCAUUGGCAAUUCCCAGGAGUUUUGGUGUGAAUUUUCUGUCUUAAUGUAUUGCAGAUUGAUAUCAAAUAAUGGUAAUGUUUUGCAUUUAUCACCUAACUUAAAUUGUGAAUUAAAACUUGUACUUUUUCUGUUAUGUUGUGUAUUGCAACAAUAUUGUUGUGUAGUAUCAAGCAAUGUAUAAUUAAGCAAUCAUGUUUUCUUUUUUAAAAUAUACUCCUCUUCGAUUGUGAAUUUUUUUUGUUUCAUUUCUUCUAUAUACAGUUUUAUUGACCUGUUUUCUCAAUUUACUCCUUUAUGGUUUUACUUUGUCGAUUUACUCUUUAUGGCCCUAUUUUCUCGAUUUUCUCCUUUGCAGAUUGAUAAUUGUUCAAUGCUGUUAAAACUAAUUGUUAGAUGCUGUUAAAAUUAAAAGCAUAUUGACAUGCGCUUAUCUAUAUUGCACCGAGCUGAUUUCGAGGUAUUUGGAGCAGUUUGUAAUUCUUGUUUACAAUGGAUAAGAACGAUAAUCCUUAUAGAAAGGAGUCGUUCUUUAUUAUUUUUAUUUAUUUUCAGAAUUUGAUCACAAGACAAACAAAGGAGUUGUUCUUUAUUAUUUUUAUUUUCAAACUUUGAUCAAAAGAUAUACGAUUUGAAUUCUUAACCUGUUUUUCUGCAGCUUGGUGUGUCAAAAUAAUUUUCAAUAUAUCAUGGAGCCCGAGUUUUUUAUUUAGUGACCUCUUUUAAAAACUUAGUUUUCAAUAAUUCUUUAUCCCUUUUGAAAACAUAUUAUUCUUGAUCUUUUAUUUCCUCUUGUGUUGCAGGAAAGGUAGUUCGUGAGCAUAUUGUUCUUCGUGUUUUGUAUUCUGACUCCUUUCUAGUUUCUUGAUUCUGAGGUUUGAUUUUGGUCUGGCUUUUAUAACCAUACACGUGAAUUGAAAUAUGGCUCUGUUUCUGCAGUGUAAUGUAUUAUGUGUAGUAUUAAGCCUCAAGUUUAUUUUGGUACUUGGAUUUUUUUCAUUUAAUUUCUUCUCUUCCGAUUCUUUUCGUCUAGUCUAUUGAUGUUUGAUUGAAAAGUUUGGUCUUGAGGGUUUUUAACAUUACUUUUUCAUACAAAUGUUUGUUCUACAUUUGGGUUUUUGUAUUUAGAAAGCGCAAAAGUUUACAUAAUUUUUUAGACAGUCGGACAAAAUGGUGGGCCUCUCUGUUAUGCUGAUCUGCAACUUGGUUUGGAGAAUUAUGCAAUAUUGUCAAAGUUUAAUUUUUUUGCACAUUUAUCUUCUGUUGCUGACAGAGUAACUUUGCUAUACGACAAAAGUUUUCUUAAUUCUGAAUCACACUCGCACCUUUUUAUAAAUUAUCUUUGCUGAAAGAAUAAAAAAGGAUAUAUAAUCCACUUAAUCUAUAUUAUCUUUGUUGAAAGAAUAAAGAAGGAUAUGUAAUCCAAAAUGUUCUGCUAGCUGGGAUAUAUAUUUUCUAGGAUUUAAUUUGGACAACUUGGUUAGGUACGAUUUGACAACCUGCUCCCUGGUGUCUGUUGUUAUUUCUGAUUUAUGAUGUAGGCCCAAUAGCUCCUUUGGUAGUAGGUGGAAGCUCAAACUGUCAUGUUUCAUAUUGGUUACAAGUAAAUACUUGCAAAUUGGUUGGAAGUUUGGGUCCGGGAACCAUCGUGUUCUCAGAGGUUGUGUUGCACUUUAUUUUGGUUAUUUCUACUAAGAAAGACAAUUAACAUUUCAGUGUGUUUGAUACUUGACAAUUUUUGAAUUCCUUAGACUUUUCUGUCAACAGAGGUCAACACGCUAUUCUUCCAAUGUUGGGAUACAACCCUUCUUGGAAGAGAGACAAAGACAACCUAUGAAAGUCUUGUGUGCUGUGGCUUGUGUCCUGUUGCAACAGAGGUCAACUUGCUACUCUUCCAAUGUUGGGAUACAACCCUUCUUUUUUAUGAUAUCUGUAUUUUUUUUGAUGGUGUGUUUUGGGAGUGUUGGAGUUUUUGUAUUUUUGUAGCAGAAGCAUAACAUUGAAGCAUACGAGAUUUUUCCCGAGCCAAUGAAUUUUUGACAACUUGGUUUGGCUCAACUUUGUUAUAUUUGUUUCACUACAUUCUCCCAAUUGGAUAUUUGUUAGUUGGGAAGCCCAAAUUUUUUCCAUUUCACAUGGAGCACCAACCUACAAUUGGCUGUGGCAUAUAUUAUCACAGUUAUUAUGUUCUUCUAUGGUGAUCUAUAUUCUGAAUAUGAACUCUUCUGUUUUCUGUAUCUUGGGAAGCUAGUUUACUUGAUUCCUUAAAUUCUAUGUGGGUGUCAUAGGGGAGUAUAUGGACUGUGAAAGCUGUGGCAGAUUAUUAAGGACAUGCUUUGAGCCUUGGGAUAAACAGGCCAUUUUCCCCUUAAAUGUACUUGUUAUGGAUUGGAAGUUGUGUUUUGAUGGUGUGAUGUGGUAAUCUUGGUUUCUGUGUUUAUAGGUGAAAAUUUGACCGAGUGAUUUCUUCGGGAUCUAUAUCUUCCUCAGUUUUGGAAUUCAUUCUUAUUUUAUCACCUUGAAUAUAUCAAUUUUCAUUUGGCUUACCAAUAAAUCUACUCUGAAACAGCAGCUGGUAUGUUCUUUUCUUGGCUAAAGUAGUUCCACUUUAUUUGAAGUUGUGUUUGAUAAAACAUUGGACAUUGGCAUGUCAUAUUAUUCAAGAUUGAAUUUGUGAAAAGCUCUAAAAGCCAUCAUGUGAAUGCAGUGUAGUUCCCAUUUACAAAGGAUGACCAACCUUAAGUCUUCUCAGGACCAGGUAAGGAUGUGUUCAUCUAGGUUUGUUGAUUAAAUCAAAAUAAUAUCUUUGAUUGCUUAAUUAACAUGUGGUGAAAGAUUACUCAAUCGCAAAUUCUAAGACUUGUAGUCGGUGGCAAGUCCAAAAAUAUUGAAAAAGCUCUUGUGAGAGUUAUUGGACAUGUGAGUUUGUAACACUAAAUUCCUUGCUAAAUUCAUCAUUCUAAUAUUUUGGAUUACUGUGUUGAAGCAAUAAAUUUCUUUGUAGCAUCAAGCCUUGUUUGUUUAAUGUGGUGACAAUGACAAUUACUCUUAACUUACAUGUAUAUAUGUUUGUUCCACAAAAGUCCCCCCUUUUGAUUUCAUGCAACAUUGCUGAACAGAAUUGUGGAGUAUCUCUUUUUGCUACCUUCUCUGUUUUUCAUCAAUUUGUGGGCAUGUUUGAUUGAUGAUCUACAUCCAAAGAGAGUUAUUCUUUUACUCUUUUACUGGUUGUUUGGUAUUUAUGAUAUAUGGGAAUAGAAAUUCAGUUUCUCUAAUUUUUACAUUGGAGACCAGAAUUCAUUAUAUUGGAACCAUCAUGUUCUGCAGACUGUAAGAUAUAUUCUAAGGAGUUUGAGUCAUGUACAUUUCAGUCGGUGUUUCUAAGAAUGUGCAAUUUUAAAUCUCUGAUUUGUAUCAUCAGUGUUAUAGGACCUAUUAGUGGGCUGUUAAAGUUGCUGCCGCUGAGAUUUACCCCAGCUUUACGACAGUAUUCGUCAUUAAUUAAGCAAGUUUCUGUAGAAACCCCGUGUCAUUUCGUAAGAUGAUCAGCGUGGUUGAGGCUUUCGUUUUCGAUGAAUAUCUUCUUUGGCACAUUUGGCAAAGUAUCUCCAUCCGGAGUUCGGGUAGAUAGCUCAAUUGUACGCUGGGCUUUGAAGCUUUGAUGGAAACUAUCAAAGACUUUGUUUACUAGCUUCAUAUAUAUAGUAAGAAAAGGAGACUCCAAUGCGACUCAAGUGGUGAAGACAUUAAUUUACAUGCUCAAGUGGUGAAGACAUUAAUUUACAUGCUUUGUUUAUAUAAAAAUCAACGCCUGGUAGUGUUAGAGUUACAUAGUAUAAUGCACCUACAAUGGGCUUGUACAUAGCUGGAUUUGAUAGGAUAUAUGAGCCAUCUUUGCUCAUCUUACAGUGAUUGAACAUGGGAGUUAUGACUCCAUUUGCACCUGACAUGUUUACCUUACUCAAAAUAUCCUUGAUGUAUUUGGAUUGCGUGAGUAAUACAUAUCCAUUUGACUGAUAAUGCACUUCAACACCUAGGAAAUAUUUGGGAAUUCCAAGCCUUUUCGUGGAAAUUUUGGUAUGUACCUUAAUGAUAAGGUUGUGAAUUAAUGCAGAGGAUGUGCCACUUAUGAGAUAAUCAUCCACAUAUAUCAAUGCAUACAAUGUGACUCCUUGGUGUUUGUACACAAAGACAUGAUGACCGCAUUUGUUGGAUAUGAAACCAAAAGAUUAAAGUUUGGCGCAGUUUGUCAUACCAGGCCCUUGGAGUCUGCUUCAAGAAACAGAUUGCAUUUUUCAGUUUGCAAAUUAGAGUGGUAUUAUAGCCAAUAAAGACAGGUGGUUGGUCCAUGUAAACUUCUUCUUGAAGAUCCCCAUUUAAAAAAGCAUUGUUGAUAUCAAUUUGUUGAAUUUUUCACUUGAAUGUGAUAGCCAAAGACAAGAUCAUUUGGAUGGUUAUUGGUUUUACCACAUUUGAGAAUGUUUCAUGGAAAUCAAAAUCUUAUUGUUGAUGAAAUCCUUUUACUAUAAGUCUUGCUUUGUAUUUAUUAACACUUUCAUCUGAAUUUUCCUUUACUAUGGACACCCACUUGCACCCUAUAGUGUCAUUCUUCAACAAUGAUUCAUGUUCAUUCUUUAUGGCCUCAUGCCAAUCAAGAUUGGCAAUAUCUUGUUUAGUGGUAUGUGUUUCAGUAUGCACUAAAAAAGCUUUAGGUUUGAAUAUUUCAGUUUCAGCUCUAGUCAAUAUGGAAUUAUUAUUCACCAAAACAUUUGGAGCCUGAAAUUGUAUGUGAAAUGAUGUGGAUAAAGAUUUUGUACUUACUGAAUAGGUUUGUGACAAAGGUCAAAGAUACGUUAGUGUCAUCUGUCAAACCUUGUUUAGAUUGAAAGUUGAUUGAGGAUACACAUACUCAUAUGGGACAUGAUUAGGACUUGGAAAUGAAUGAGAACCUGAUUGAGGUGAUUGAAUGGUGUUGGAAAAGCUAUGAAGGGGAACUUUCAUCAGGUUUGGCAAGAAAAGCUUGCUGAAGGGAAACUUUCAUUGAAUUUGACAUCCUUGGGCUGAGCAAAGGAAAACAUGAGCAUCCAAACACCUUCAAUAAUAUAUACUUGGGUUGCUUGCUGUACAAGGCAACCUAAGUGAGAUAAAUUUGGAUAGACCAACAAUUGAUUGUAUGUUGAUAGAAAGACAUGUGUCAAAGUUAUGAUCCCAGUAUGUGAUUGGCACUGAAACAUGAGCAAGGAGAGUGAGCCCUAUUUCCAUUGUUUGCCUAUGAUUUCUCUACACAUUUCCAUUCUGAUGUGAAGUAUGUAAACAUGUGAGCCUAUGACCAAUUCCGAGUUUCUUUAAAUGUUUGGUGAAUGUCUUGAAUUCUCUUCCAAAAUUAGAUUGAACUGAUUUUAUAGUUGUGUUAAAUUGUGUAGUAAUAUAUUUCUAGAAUAUUUUGAAGGGAUUUAGAGUGUCACUUUUGUUCUUGAGAAGAUACAACCAAGUGCACUUGAAAAAUGCAUAAACAAAAGCUAUAUAAUAUGAGUAUCCAUUGCUUAAAGGGUUAGGAGAAGGCCCCCAUAAAUCAGUGUGAAUAAAAUGAAAAGCAUUAGUGUAAUUCAUAUUAGACAAAGGAGCAUGUAUUCUAUGUGAUAUACCAAUACAACAAGAAUUGUAAAAUUAUACUAACUCUUAUUCUUACAUUGAAUUUUACAUAGCUAAAAAACAUUCAAGAUAACCCUAGAAUUGGCAUGUCCUAGAUUAGAAUGCGAUAAAGAGGAUUUAUUUCAAACAAGAUUUAAUGCAGUAGUAUUAUGAAUAAAAGAAGACUCUUGAUGUAACUUGUGUGUAAGGGUAUGCUUGAAGAUUCUAAAGCAAGAUUGUUAAAGCAGUACAAUCCACUCCCAUCAAGGAAUCCUUCAAGGAGAACCAACUUCGAUUCCUGUAAUUUCACAUAGCAUUUGUCAGCAUGAAAUUCAAAAUAUGUAUCAUUUUUCUUUGCAAAUUUUGAAACACAAAUCAUAUUUCUAGUUAUUUGGGGAACAAGCAUUAAGCGGUUUAAGUGUAGCACUGAUUUUGAUAUGCAUUUUGACCUAACAUUGGUAUGCCCAAUAGAUUGACCUAACAUGUUAUUUCCCUUACCAACUACUACUUGCUUACGGCCAAUACAUGACAAAUUUAUUUUCACGUUAGAUUCACUAGAGGUUAUGUGAUAUGGUGCACCUGAGCCUGUGAACCAAGCGUGAACUUCAAGGUCUUGAGGAUUUUGGAAUUUCUCCUGAGGCGCUAAAUAAGCGUUUGUUUGAGAAUAGGUUGAUGUCUGAUAUUUAUGAGUAUUUGAUGCAUUGACUGGAUCAUUUAUUGUUGGGCCUUCAGCUUGAGCUUUGGUUGAUGUAGGAUCAAAAUAGUCAUCAAACUAAUGCCAACAUUCUAUCACUGAGUGACUAUAUUAGUUACAGAGAUGAUAAAUAGGUAUGUUACAUAGAGUAUAGCUAUGCAUUACUCGACCUUUUCUAUAAUUUGUUCUACCUUUACCUCGAAAUGCAUGGUUUGUUCCAAAGUUAUAGCCAUUUUAUCUGCUCCUGAGUUAACAAAAGCUUGUGCUACAUUAGUCAUUUCACUUGAUGUAGUAAAUUAUUGUCUAUACUUAUCAAGUUGAGCCUCUUGCACAUAUAGUAAAGCUUAUACUUCAUAGAUGCCAGUUAACUCUACUUUUCCAUAUAUUAUUGUGAUAAAUGAAUUAUAUUCUUCAUUAAAACCUUGCAAGAUUGCAUCAAUUUGAUCUCUCUCCGAAAUUGGAUCACUUAUAGCUAGAAGAGAAUCAUCAAUAGCCCAAAUCUUUAGGACAUACUCGAAGAUCGACUUGCUACUUUUCUUGCUUAUCUUGAGUUUAGACUUGAUUUGAUGUACACGAGCUUUAAUUUGCGAAUUAAAGUGUUUAUGCACAUUAUCCCCCACUUUAUACAAAUGCUUGCAAGAAAGAAUACGUGGUAGCACAACUUUUGAGAGACGAUAUUCGCCAACCGAUCAUUUUCUAUUUUGAAUUUUGGUGGAAUUUGUGAAUUAACUACCACUCUAUGGAGUUUAUGCGAGAAAAUUACUCCCUCAACUUGUUGAUUACAUUGCAUAAAAUUGGCUUCUUUCCGCUUGAUGGAUAUUCUCAGUGCAAAGGUGUCUUGGAUCCUGAAACCGUCAUUGCUCAUGUAGCAGCUUUAGAUGAAUUUGAUGUAGAAUGUGCGUUAAGAAGAGAUGAACCUAGAUCCUCCAUUGUUGCUUCUUUGAAGUUUUUUUCAGUUGAUGCUCGAAACUUUAUGUGAUCCACCAGUAUUGAACAUUACUUUAAGCUUUGAAUCUUCGCUUAUGGUGAAGAUGAAAAUGAUAAUGCAGUGGAGUUAGUUCCCUUAAGCUGAUACCAUAUUAGAUGAGCGUUCAUACAUGUAUAUGAUGGAAGUGAUGAAACUCAUAUAGAGAAAGCAUUAUUUUUCAUGCAUAUGUUGGCUAUGGAUUUGGAUCUGCAACACAAUAUUUUGAGUGUGUGGAUUAGGAUGGAGGUUUCCCAGAGGUGCCAACCUAGUAGGGAUAUUUGUGUUUCUCUUGAUGUUCAUCUACUCUUGCCUAAAAAAAUAUUAUUGAAUACACGAAUGAAUAUUUAGUAUAUAUAGUGAAGCAUUCAUGGAUCCUUACUCUUACCUAACUUUGGUCUCAUCGAACUACCUUCAUGUAGUUAGUUAUAGUUAGUGUAACUAAUUAUAACUAACUUUCCUUAGUUAUUCUCUAAUAGACUGCUACCAUUGAUGGAUUUCAAAUGUAAAACCAGUGUGCGAAAAAUUGUGAUAGAUUGUAGGUAAAGUGAUUCGCUUGUGCUGAAUUACUCAUCGCAAGGGCACGACAACAAGAGGUGCGAGUUUCAUUGAUGGUAGAUGUUAAAUGUGUGCUUCAUUGUUAAUUAAAAUAUAAUCUUUGUUUAUAUUUUGAUGAGUUUGUUCAUUGAUAUUCUGACGAGUUCUGAUUUAAUUACCAUAUACACAGAAAGACAAAUAUCUGAAGUCUUUUUUGCUUUCGACCAUAUUUUCUCUAAACUUAAGAUUAAAAUAGGCCACCAUUACAAUUUCUGGACCCAAUUUAUGUUAUUCACUUCUCUAUCUAUCGUGUCUUCUCUUUUCUUUUAUCCUCAACUUUUCUAUUGUAGAGGCAACACAACUAAAGAGAAAUUAAUCAUAAACUCCUAAAUCAACAAAAAUCGGUGGUCAUUUACAUAUUAUUUUGAGAAUCUCUUAAUGCACCCUUAUGCCUUCUUAGAGACCCUUGGCGAAAACUCCAAAAUACUCCCAGAAUUCAGAUAUGUAUUUUUGAACUCACUACAUUAUAUUUUUUAGAUGGGUUUCGGAUAUGCAUCUUUGAAUCAACCCCAUAAUUUAAGUUUAGGGGAUUUUCAGAGAUGCGUCUCCGAAACUGUUUUAAGUAUAUAGUUGGCGCUGACAUAAUCCCUCAUACUUCAUUUUCAUUUAACAUUCAAAUCAUCUUCAUCUCCGAACCCUUCACUUUUGAGCAAUUUAUUGAAGCUAGUUUUUGAGAUACUUUGAUGGAGUAAGUGUUUUCGAAGCAAUAUUCUACUCAUUUCAUCAAGUUUCCAAAAGCUCCAAU